GGGCGCCAGCGCGGGCGGGGCCGCGGCCUGGACGCAGGGCGGGGCGCGGGGGGCGCGGGGCCGGAGCUCCCGGAGGCCGCUGCUGCUGCCGAGGGCCGGCGCGGGGAGCUGGGGACCCGCAGCCGGGCGGGGGCGCCGGCACGCCUCGUCCCGCCCCCGGGACCCCCGGACGCGGGACCCCGACCACCCAGGCUGGGGCGUCCGCGAAACACACAUCGGACCUGUCCUGGAAGGCAAUUUGCAAGCGAAUUCUUUGAAACUCAAGAAGGAACUGUGCGGCCUCGAUCCUACGUCCCGGGCGUAGCGAGAGGACAGGACGGAGGAGAGGUGGCUGCACGAGCUGUGCCGUGGGCUGCGGUCCCUCCCGGGACCGGGAAACCUGGGGUCGAGUGUCCGCUCGCCGCCAGCCGGGUCUGGAGCCUAGACUCUCUCAUAGCCACGGUUUCCCUAUCUGAGUGCCAGCACCAGAGCGCGGGUGGAGUGGGAGGCCCUGCGUAUUUUCUUAAUGCCACCGGGCCUCAAAGUCCUUAUCUUUGAAAUGGGCUAAUAAGCCCGCCUCCGGAGUGAUGUCCUGGGGGUUAAAUGAGGUGUUACUUGCAACAUAAAACAACUGGUAAGAAGGAACUCCUGAAUUAGUGGAAACCAUUGUCAUUAAUAUGAUUAUUAAUCUCUACUGAAUCAAAAUUAUAAUACAAAUAGGAUGAUAAUAAUUAUGUCUUUCUGGGAUUUGAUGUUAUAAAAGCAGCCGCAGUAACGGCUUACCUUUACUGAGCAUGCGUUUUGUGCCCAACUUUCACUAAUCCUCUUAUUUAACCCUCUGAACUUGUUACUAGGAGAUGCCCACUGCACAGACUAGGAAACCAAAUCUCCCAGAGGUUAGAUAACUUGCCGCCGGUCAAGUAACUGGUAAGUGCAGAAAAAGGAUUCUGCCAAAACCCUUUAGGGCACUUUUUAUAGCUCUUGUUUUUCCCACCUUUGGCCUGAUUUAUCCAUGAAAGUUCAUCCUUUCUUGUAACUGAAAUAAGCCUCCAGAAAAUAUCUCCCCAUUGGCCCAAGUUCAGAAAACCCCAAGGAUGAAAAUCUAGAGGGAAUAAUGGGAAGGAGCUUAGUUUCUGGAAGAACCAAACUGAGCACAAAGACUCCUGUUGUAGACAAAGGAUCCAGAGCAAAUUAAAGAAGAGUAAGAAAGAGUUGGGCCACUUCUCGAAAGUUGUAUGAGCUUUGACUCUUACAGCUUUGCCAAAGGCUCCAAUGAGCAAGGAGAGCCUGCGCCAGCCGGAAAGGCUGAUACUCAGCGGGCUUUAACAGAUAUUUGAAAAGCACUUUAUGCAUAGACAUUUUUUCCUGAAUCAUUUGUAGGUAAGUUCCACACCCUAUUAUAACCCCUUACCCCUGUAUAUUUUGAUAUGUCUUUCCUACGAGUAGGGAUGUUAUCUUACAUAAUCACAGUACAGUUACCAAAUUCGUAGCUUUAUAUUGAUAAAAUAUGUGUAUCUAUUCUUGGUCCAUAUUCCAGUUUUGCCAGUUGGUCUGACCAUGUCUUUUAUAGUAUUUCUUUCCCCUCCAUCCCAAGAUCCUCCACUGUAGGGUCAGGUAUCGUAUUUAGCUGUCUGAAAACGUAUGGGUUUUCAAACAUUACUCUUCACUGAGAAGGGAUGAAAAUAAAUGUCCUCAAGUGUUUUCAUGGUGACAGCAACCCCCAGAAUUCCUAGGACAGGCCCUCAUUCCCCACAUUUCCCAGCUCCGCGUAGACCUUGCAUGGUUCUUCUGGGCAGGGCCCACUCAGCACCACUAUGUGAUCCAAGUUCAUGAACUUGUCACUCUGGUGGUGGCUGUAGAAGCUGCAGCUGUCCCCUGUGUGGCGACCCGGGCCAGCCGAUCCCGUGGGCAGACUGCAGCUUAGUGCCUUCUCCUGCUGCAAAUUCUAAACGCCCCCGGGGCCGCGUGCUCCUGUUCGGUAGGAUGGAAGCCGCCACCGUAUGGUACAGCCACGUGGGAUGCCCAUUACCCUGGAGAACCAGCCACGCGGUGUGGCUUUGGGCUCAAGAGCUUCACUUGAGGGAAAUGCACUGGUAGCAGUUAGGCGUCAGGACAGAAAACGGGAUUUCGUGAUCAUGAGGAGUUCAAUUAUCCAAGGAUGUGCUGGAGGCUCCUUCAGCUGGAAGUAGAGAAUUUGAUAGACUAAUUAUAAUUAGGAAGGAAUUGAUUAAUACCUUCUCCCCUGUUGGCUGUGGGCAUGGGACAAGGAUAACCAGGUGCCAUUCCAGCAGGGGCAGUGCCUGGCGCUCAGUGGGCGCUCUGGGGGAAUGUCAUCCGUCGCUGGGAAGCCAAAUCCUGUAGGUGAAUGCAUCAGCAGAGCAAAUGAAUGGAGGACACGAAUGCUGCGCCCUGGGGCCCGGGCUCCGGCUCAAACAUUGCCAACGGCCUUGAUGAAGGAAAAGAGAAUGAGGUGAAUGGCACCCUGACAGUGAAAUGCUCUGGCCAGAGUGGCCCGGCCUCACUCCCGCUCCUGUGGGGGGAGGCCAGGCCUAUGGCCCCACUGGACACAGGCGGGUGCACCAGGCAGGGAGUGCUGGAAACCAGUGGUCAGCGGUAAGGACUGGUGGGGGCGGGACCCACCUGCAGUCAGAAUAAGAAAUACAGGCUGCCCCUGGCAUACAGAGGUGGGGAGCCUGGCAGCAUUCCAGGAAGACUUCCUAGAGGCAGCAGUGCCCCAGCGAGUCCCGGAGUAUCCAAGAUGGUCAGUUCCACAAAGAGGGACCCAAAGAAAAGGCCUCUCAGAUGGAGGGAGACUUCCGGGCCCUACCAGAGCCAAGAAGGAACUUACCAAGUAGUUGCAUUUCAUCAUAAAAUACCAGGCCAGAGCAAACGAGGGCGUCAGGAGGCUUGACGAGACACCAGGAUGCAAAGCAAUUGAUGACACUUGGCCCAAGGUGUGUGUUUGCUGGUGGGUGGAAGGACGGGCCAGCCAGAUGUCUGCACCUAGGAUCCGCAGGGGGUCUGGCCCCAGAGACCAGAUGUCUACCUGCUCCACUGGGUGACUUGCAAGACUUGGAGGAUCCCAGCUGUGUCCUGGCUCCACCUGGCUUCACUGUGGUGCCAGGAGACCUGCUGGGGGGCUUCUGCUGGUGGCCUGUGACGGAGAGGACAAGAGGUUCUCUUGGAGGCAGGCAUUUGAAGGCCGUGGGUGGGGCUGGAGGUUCCUGGCAGAGCGGAAGAGGAGCUGGGGAGGGAGAGGAAGUGCAAGAAACUCCCGCAGGCAGCCGAGCACGAGCUGACUGUGGUCAAUGCAUUUUUGGUGGGCUUGGGAGAGGAGAGAAAGGGGGUGGUCUCUACUGUGCUUAAAAUGUUUAGAAUAGGGUUAAAAGCCUGAAUCUUUUGCCUAAAAUCACAGUCUUAGCGUGCCUUGAAAACUCAGCACAGACAGCAAAAGCGGUCCCCGUUCCCAAGUGGCAGCCAUUUCCGGGGCCCCCGAGCCUGGCUGCGGGGCGUGUAGGUUCCCCCCCGGGCUGCUUUGCCGCUUUGCCAAGGCCAUGGCCCUGCCGCGGGGGAGAGCGCAAAGCCGCGGGUCCACCGAGCUGCCUGGGAAUCCUGCUUCCAUCAGUGUCUCGUGGCUGUGGAGAGAGCCGUAGAUGCCCUCCCGUGAGCCACACAUUUCCUCCAGGCUGAGUUUCUCAGGCAGCCCCUCUGGCGGCGGUGGAGACCACGGGCAGCAGUGAGCACGGUGCCCGGCUCGCAGGGAGGGCAGCUUUGCUGAUCCAUCAGCGUGGCCUGUGGCUGGCGUGGACAGGCAGCCUUUGCACCCCGCCUCCCGUGCUCAUUCUGAGUCAUCUCCAUCUUAGCUGAAAGAAUGCGGCGCCCCUCAGGAUGCUCUGGGCUGCAGGGAACAGAGCAGGGCCUGCCACCGUCAUCAUGACCCGGGCCCUGGUCACCCUUGACGUAGAGGUCACGGUGCCUCUGGUGUGGAGGUCUAGCUCUGGACAUUGCUGCUCCUUAUAGCUGUGUUCACAAGCAGGACGGGGACACUUCUCCUCCCUUGCCUCCUUCCAGAGGCUCCAGGAGAUUUCUUCUCAUGUGGCCAGAAUGUGGUCUCGGGCCCACGCCCUAGCAGCAAAAGGUAAAAAGGAAAAGGGCUGUCAUCUGUGUUGGGGAUCAUAAAACGUGAUCUCCUUUCUUUGUGGCCCUGAGUCCAGUGCGGAGGAAGAUAGGACAUCUUUUUUUAUUCAAGUUCGGGAUUUUGACCUGCAAGCUCCCCCCGCACCAGCUUUUAGGGAGUUUGAGAACUUGGCCUGGAUGCCAGCUUGAGAAUUCUGACCAUCUGAGACCAGAGGCACCCACAGCUCCAAGCACCAUGAGGGAUAGAGAUGCCCACUCAGAGGGUGCAGAGAAGACACCCACUAAAGAGAAGCAGCAUCACAGCGGCACCUUUCUGCCCAGAAGCCUCUGCUCUUCUGUCCUGGCAGCAAAGCUACUCCAGACCUUCACGCGUAAGGUAGGGCUCCAGGAGCACAUCAUCUACGGAGCACACUCCCUGCCCAGGGAUUGCGUGGGAAGCUGCACACGCCGGCCGGGCUGGAAAAGGACCAGCCCUCUCCUGAGACUCAGGGCUGUCACCUUAUCCCCCAGAUCCUGUGGGAAAACUCUGGCUGCAACAGAGCCGAGGUGCUUCCAGAAGAUGCCCUUGGCAUUCUGCUAUGCUCUAUUUGUAUCGUCUUUGAAAAAGGUAUAGAAGAUGCACAAUAACACUUUGCUUUGGGGAACUUUCUAGGGAAUAAGGUCACCCACAUCUGUUGCUGGCGUCCGAAUCACAUGUCCCAGAGCAUGCCAAAUGCCCUCACUAACUGCAAAAGACACCUACGCAGGGCCCCCACCCCACCCAAGAGUUGGCGCUGUCGCUGAACCCACGUUAGGGUCUUUCGAGGACGGUGUGCCCAUUCCAACAACACAGAGGACAGCUCCUUCUUCCAGAAAAGCCGCUGAGAGCUGUUAUGGUGAUGAGCACAGAUUUCACGUAAUUGGGGCCUUGGGCAGCUCACCCAAUCGCACUGAGUCUCGGUGUCCCAGACAUAAGGCAGGAUCGCUCACAGUGGGAUGAAACUGAUUAGAUAAAGCACCUAGAGUCCCCAACCAGGUCCCGACCCAGGGCGUGUGCUGCAUCGGUGCAUUUAUUAGGACUGUUACCUGCGAGGCACCGCGGUGAUGCUCAGAUCAGCCACACCUGAAGCAGGUGCCGUCCUGCUCUGGUGCUUGCUGUGGCACUUCCUCGGCCCUCUUUCCCCACCUGGAACCCGGGGGAAGUAAUAGCACACAGGUGGGGAGCCGUCAGUAAACGCUGGGGAUCCACACAGCCCCCAAGAACAUUACUCUUUGUGCUUCUCCUGCCAGAAGGAUGGCCCGACCUGGUACAAGCCUUGCUGCCUUCCUUCUGGGGGAGGAAGAGACUUUGAACAACACUCAUGAGUCAGAUGACAGUGUUCACGGAAAGCACUUCUCUGCCUCCUGCCUGGGACAAGACGGCCUGUGGCAUCCCUGCCCUCUUGUGUUCACAGGUCCUCCGAAGGGCCGGCAGGGCAGCCUGUGAGUUGAGCCCUCUGACCCCUCCUCCCCUGAGGGGUGCUCACACAGCCCUGGAGACACCAGUCCAGACAGACACGGGAGGGAGUGGCUGGUAGAGAUGUGCUGAGGAAAGGAAAAGAGAAAGCGGAUGCUGGUCAGCACCCAGCGUCUCUUUUUAUAGCCUCCUGUGAAAGAAGAGCUUUCCUUUCAUGUGAGUUUCCCUGAUAUUCACAAGUUUACAGGAACAGUUGAAAAUGUCAACUAUUUAUAUAACCUUUUGCCUUUUCCCAGGCAUCAUGAUGGGCGUGUCUCCCUCUCCACGUGCUGGGAGGGAGUUUGCAGUUUUCUUCCAAGCUGCUUGCAGGCAUCGCCCCUCCCCAGGCUCCUCUUGGGGUGGGGGGACGGGGCAUUUCAGCCCUUUCCGAUUUUUUUGCUGCUGUGAACAGCACUGCAAUAAACACCUUCGGGCAAGCUGCAUUUUUUUUUUUUUUUAAUUCCUUUACAUAUCUCUUAGAAUAUUGCAGUCUGCCUUCGCUUCGCUCAUCAGGAGGUUCACUUAUGUCACCCAGGAGAGGCUGCUCUGGGGAUGGGCCGGGAGUAGGAGGAAGGGGCAGCUCUGGACGCCCUGGCCUCUCCCUGCCCUCCCGCCUGCUGGCCAGCACCUGCCCCGCAGUGUCUGCUUCUCCUGACUGGGCCUCCUUCAGGUUGUCACGGCUCCGUCAGCGCUGGCCGAUAAAUCACCCUACAGCCCCUCUUCCGUUGCCAGCAGCCCCUUCUGAGAUUCCAUGCUUCAUACUCAUAGGAGAGGAGUUGCACCAUCUACACGAGGCUGCAGGUCCUGGGAGGGGGUGUGGCGGGGCAGGCUGGCCGUAGAGGGCAGCACAUAUAGUUUGCUUUUGUCUCCAAAGGAAUUUCACAGGCCACUCACGCAACUUAGCAUCCAGAAACCAUCAGCAUCUUCUUGCCUCACGAUUUUCUGGGCGCUGACUUGGACUGGGAGAGAGGUUUUCCCGUGGCCUCGCCUGGGGUCAGUCCUGCAGCUGUGGUCAGAGGGCAGGUUGGCUCCCAGCUGGAAUAUAAGGUGUGAUUAUGGAAUAAGGAGAGUUUUUUACUUUCCCCUCCACCUAAACAGAGCCCCUUGGUCCCACGUGUGCUGACCCUCAGAACACUCCUCUCGACCAGAGGCCUUUAGGACACGUUCUUAAUUAAGGCCAGCCGCAGCCCUCUGCGGGGCACGACUUGGCUUCUUUAUGGCCUGCAUCCUCGCUGCCACCUUCUCGUCCCUUGUUCUUCUAGGUUCUAGCCUAGAAACCAAGGCUGAGGACCUCAAGGGAGGGUGCUGGGCUGGCCUGGGACUAAGAGCCUCCAGGAAGGUCACCCACAGGCCAGACUAGGUGUGAGCUCAGGGUGGGCCUUAUGAAGAGAACUUGAGCAAGUACAUGGAUGCCUGACCCGUCCACAGUCUAAGUGCUGUCAAAGCUCAUGUGAACAUGGUAAAUGCAAACUAGGGAGGAUAGACUGUCAAGGCGUGUGUCUGGGAGGGAUAGACAGAGAGGGAGGGAGAGAGAAAGGAGGGAAAGGGAAGGGGAGUAGCCGGU
Aethalodelphis obliquidens (Pacific white-sided dolphin) is the source of this 7154-nucleotide long non-coding RNA. RefSeq lists it as uncharacterized. The record is from RefSeq and is a predicted model, not a curated record. The transcript is spliced from 5 exons. NCBI's taxonomy places the organism in Eukaryota, Metazoa, Chordata, Mammalia, Artiodactyla, Delphinidae.